This 395-nucleotide ribosomal RNA is filed under the name uncultured bacterium. RNAcentral describes it as "bacterial SSU rRNA". It matches the Rfam family "Bacterial small subunit ribosomal RNA", at positions 505 to 898 of the family's 1533-position model. The record is from RNAcentral.
GUGUCAGCCGCCGCGGUAAUACGUAGGGGGCUAGCGUUGUCCGGAAUCAUUGGGCGUAAAGCGCGCGUAGGCGGUCAGGUAAGUCCGGUGUGAAAGUCAUAGGCUCAACCUAUGAAUGCCGCUGGAAACUGCCUGACUUGAGUCCGGAAGGGGCGAGUGGAAUUCCUGGUGUAGCGGUGAAAUGCGCAGAUAUCAGGAGGAACACCAAUGGCGAAGGCAGCUCGCUGGAACGGUACUGACGCUGAGGCGCGAAAGCGUGGGGAGCGAACAGGAUUAGAUACCCUGGUAGUCCACGCUGUAAACGAUGGGCACUAGGUGUCGGAGGUGUCGACUCCUCCGGUGCCGUAGCUAACGCAUUAAGUGCCCCGCCUGGGGAGUACGGCCGCAAGGCUAAA